RNAcentral lists this ribosomal RNA (490 nucleotides) under uncultured bacterium. Its description in RNAcentral is "partial 16S ribosomal RNA". It matches the Rfam family "Bacterial small subunit ribosomal RNA", at positions 30 to 507 of the family's 1533-position model. The record is from RNAcentral.
AUUGAACGCUGGCGGCAGGCCUAACACAUGCCAGUCGAACGGUAACAGGGAUCAGCUUGCUGAUUCGCUGACGAGUGGCGGACGGGUGAGUAAUGUCUGGGAAACUGCCUGAUGGAGGGGGAUAACUACUGGAAACGGUAGCUAAUACCGCAUAACGUCGCAAGACCAAAGAGGGGGACCUUCGGGCCUCUUGCCAUCGGAUGUGCCCAGAUGGGAUUAGCUAGUAGGUGGGGUAACGGCUCACCUAGGCGACGAUCCCUAGCUGGUCUGAGAGGAUGACCAGCCACACUGGAACUGAGACACGGUCUAGACUCCUACGGGAGGCAGCAGUGGGGAAUAUUGCACAAUGGGCGCAAGCCUGAUGCAGCCAUGCCGCGUGUAUGAAGAAGGCCUUCGGGUUGUAAAGUACUUUCAGCGGGGAGGAAGGGAGUAAAGUUAAUACCUUUGCUCAUUGACGUUACCCGCAGAAGAAGCACCGGCUAACUCCGUG